CCUACAGCGGCAAGGACCUGAAUCCGGACAACCUCCUCGUGCAACUGGGUUCUCCCCCAGAGCCUCCAAAAGGAGCGCGGCCUGCCUGGUGCCAUGCUUUCGGCCACAUGAGACCCUGAGCGGAGGACCCAGCUCAGCCGUGCCUGACUGCCGACCUACAGAGCUGUGCGCGAGGAGAUCGUCGUUUCCAGCCCCUGAGCGUGGGGUGACCUGGAACACGGCGUGGGUAACCGGUACAGAUACGCAUUCAGGUGGCCUCCGGGGGGACCCUGGGGGUCCCAGUCAGGGAGGCCUUCCUUGGAGAGUUCCUGAGGCCUGAGUCGUCCCCGGGGUCAGGGCGGAGAGCUCCAGCGUGCAGAAUCAGCAGGUGCCACGGGGCAGGCCCAAGCCGCAGCGGGAGGCGGGGAGACCGCAAACUGCCGCUCUGGGCCUCCUGUUCCUCGUCAGCAAAACAGGACUGACGCCGGCGAGCCGCGGCCGGGUGAAACAAGGGAAUAUGUCCAGCUGUGCUUUGCUCAGGGCCUGGAGCUGGGUGAGGUGCUUGAGCAACCGCGGACGGGAAGAGCGCGCCAAUGUUAACAAUACUUGCCUCGUGAGUUUUACGCGGAUGACCGAAGUGCCCAGGCAAAGUCCCGCAGCGGUAGCAGUGACUCUGGCAUCUCUGCCUCCCUGGCCGGAGCCCCAGUGGGACUCUCACUCCCAAGGGGCAAUGGAGAAGCUGGCCUGGGGCCCCUCCCCCUGCCGGCUCCUGGGGCAAACGGGGACCCUGCCCAUCUCCAGGGGAAGAGACCACACAUUCAUGUCCUCAAGAACCUUUCAGAGAGCUCAAGGAGGUGUUUCUUCCACAGUAAUAAAAGGCAAAUUGUAAAAGACUUCAGAGGGCCUCCUCUUCUGCAUCCGAGGACAGAGUGUGACCUCGACGCCCGCACAGGAGACCAAAAUGGACCAACCUGCUGUUUCGUGAGCUCCGAGAGAGGCAGACUCAGAAGUGACGGCUGGCGUGAGACACAAAGUCGAGACACGGUCGUUCUGUGAUAUUUCCAGGGCGCCCGUCGUGGGCCACACCCGGGGCGGAGUCCUCUGGGCCUCUGGAACCUAGCAGAGGAGACAGACCCCAGCAUACAGGUCGUUCACACCGUGGCAUGAUCGGUGGCAAGCGCGGGACGGUCAGAGAGGCAGUGAGGGAAAGCAUGCCAGGAAGAGAGGGAACAGCCCAGGCAAAGGUACAGAGGCUACAACAGACGUGGCGUGAAAGGAACCACAAGCUGUUCAGCAUGAAAGGUGGGCCGCCUCCUUUGGGAAGGAGCCCCGGGCCUUGCUCUGGACGGGACUCCUGUCUCAGCUUCUGUCCCUUCCAAGACUGACCACGAUGAUUAUUUCACUGAAGGCUCUACUUCCCCGGCAAGCGGCCAGAUGGGGCCCCGGGGAGCCCCCGGAGAGCGAGAACAGCAGCCACGAAGCUGGUGACCGUGGGCUCACCUGGUGUGAGUCUGGCCCGCGCGGGUGUCUGAGUCCUUCAGGUGACCCCGAGCACUGUGGGUUUCAGGACAUGUCACAGGGUCCUCCUGGCCCUUGAGAUGAGAAACUUCGAUGGCUUUGUCCAGUAGCCUUCAUGAUGUUUCCUCAAAUGGACUUCAAUUCCGAUUUUAGACCAAGGUCAAGACAUGCAGAGCACACAGGCCACCGCUCUCCGUUUCUGCACUCGUGGCAGACAUGACUAAUUGAUUGUAGAACCCUCAACCCAGUACCCAGAUGAGUGAUCUUCGGGGCCUGGUCCACCCUUCUCCAUGAGACGGACACCCAGCUCGGUCGUGAAGCCCACGAGGGCCUGACUGCCCUCCCCCUCCUCUGGCCGCCGUUGGCCAAGACGCUUGGAAAACUGUAGAAGCCAGCAUCGAGGGGGGAGGAGAUAAACAUCUCUCUCUCCCUCCCUCCCUCCCUCUCUUCCACGCGUGCGCACGCACACGCUCGCAGGAACACCAGACUGCAUGUAUCACAUCGUCGGAGACAAAGGCAAGGGCAAGCCGCGUGCUGGAGGGCAGCUACAGUCCCGUUUGACGCUCUGUCCCAAGGUCUAGCUAGGACAGUGCCCGGCACACAGAAGCCACUCAAUUAAUAGUUGUCGAGCCAAGGGCAUCUAUGGGUCCGAGCUGUUUUCAGACCAAUCGCACGGUGUCCGGGGCAGGUCACAUCCCAGCCGCCCUGUGGGGGUCCCCUGGGUUAUCAUCUUUCUCCCCGAAAGGGGUGGAGCCUGAGAGGCUGUGUUCUCAUGAAGCAGCUGGUGAAUUAGGGCCUGGAGAAGUUUCCCUGAAGUCUUUAACUCACCACUGAGAUACGGUUCCAGACAAAGGCAGGGCGAGUGGGUCGGGGCGGUGAGAGUCUCGGGCGCUCACCCCCUCACCCCUGUCCCUUCCUCAGGGGAAUUAAUUGGUAGCAAAAAAGAGGACUUUAGGAAAUAGCCGUGUUUAAAGGGCCCCUGCUUAAUGUUCCCUUUAAUUAGAAUGGGUUUCACUUGACAUUUUUUGCUGACCCGCCGGGGGAGGGAAGCCCCCGCCUGAGUGAUUGCCCCCUGACCCCGGGAUUCCUGCGUCUCAGUUAUGCCCCGUUCGUGGGCUCCCUCAGCAGAGUUCAAAAGAAUGGCUUUUCCUACAGCACAACAACAGCCAGAGCGCAAAGAGUCACUCCCCCUGGUCCGGACGCUUCUGUGGGAACCUGGGCCGGGACAUUCCUCUGAAAGAAAAAUGUGCACGCGGGGGGACCGCUGGGUCCCUGCCAAGCCCGGUCGUUCAACAGGCUCAACAGGCAGGGCCUGAGCCCUAGGGAAGACAGGUUCCGCACCACGCCUGGGGAUGGGGACGAGGGGCAAGGUAGGCGUGCACCUGCCCCCGGGGCGCUCUCAGCCAGGCCGAGAGGUGGCCCCCGUGCCGCGGCGACUCUCGCAAGGUGGGACGCGAUGUGAAAGGCCAAGUGCUGGGGGAGCGCAGGGGAGGCGCCUGACUCCAGCCGGGGCAGGACAGGCCUUCACAGGGACAGCUCUGUCUAAGGUGGGACCUCGCAGGAGUCAGGACGAGCGAGGCCGGGCUGCACUAACAAACAGGCUCCAGUCUGAGUGUCUCAACACAACAGAGUUCGGUUCUUUACUCGCGUCUCGGGCCAGCAAGGGUCUUCUCGGUGGGUCCCCUCGAGCAGCGACGCGGGGAUCCAGGUCUGGGGUGGGAGCGAGGCACCCGGUUCGAGCUGCCUCGACCCUGAUGGCAUCUGGAGAGACCGAGGGCCGCAGUUCCAGGGAAGCAGAGGGAGGUUCCCCCUGAACCCAAGAAGAGGCAAUGGAGUGAGACCCACAGAGCCCCAGGUCAAGCCGGAGGCAAGGAGGGCGGCACGGGGCUGAAAUUGUUUACUCCCGACCCACGGAGCCUUUGCCACGUCACCCGGAAUUCACAGCAGCCUUGCUCGAGCCAACAUACGACUUGAGGUUCCCGUGCUGUGAGAUGAAGAUCGUCACGUUCACUUAGCAGGAGCCUCGUGAGGAUUUGGCGAGGAUGUUUGCAAAACUCGGGGCGCCUGGUAGGUAGGUGCUCGGUGGGGGUGCGCCUGCCGGCCCCUC
This is a long non-coding RNA of Leopardus geoffroyi (Geoffroy's cat), 3604 nucleotides long. RefSeq lists it as uncharacterized. The record is from RefSeq and is a predicted model, not a curated record. The transcript has 3 exons. NCBI's taxonomy places the organism in Eukaryota, Metazoa, Chordata, Mammalia, Carnivora, Felidae.